RNAcentral lists this ribosomal RNA (333 nucleotides) under Triticum aestivum (bread wheat). Its description in RNAcentral is "partial small subunit ribosomal RNA". The record is from RNAcentral. Lineage: Eukaryota; Viridiplantae; Streptophyta; Magnoliopsida; Poales; Poaceae.
AUGCCACGGGGCUGGAUUGGGGACGGCGCUGGACAUAUUGCAACAAUUACCAAGGAGCUUAGAGCAGCAGUGUACAUCGGCAAUGGACUGCUCAUGGCGAAGUGCGUGCCUCCCAAGCCGCGGCGUCGAACUACUUCGAGUUGUGUUGUUGAACAACCCGGUGUGGCGAUGGUGAACGGCAUGGGCGGUGCCGCGGUGGAGCCCCACCAGCAGUGGCAGGAAGCUCGACACAAUCGGCCUAGUAGCUACGACGGUGAACGGCCUGGGGUGGCCGGGUUGGAUGCUGGUCGCAGUGGCGGCGAACCCAACGCCCUGGCCACACCGGGAUGGUAG